CCCUUAGAUGUUCUGGGCCGCACGUGCGCUACACUGAUGAAUGCAACGAGCUCUACCCUUGACCGAAAGGCCCGGGUAAACUUGUGAAACUUCAUCGUGAUGGGGAUAGAUUAUUGCAAUUAUUAAUCUUCAACGAGGAAUUCCUAGUAAGCGCGAGUCAUCAGCUCGCGUUGAUUACGUCCCUGCCCUUUGUACACACCGCCCGUCGCUCCUACCGAUUGAAUGGUCCGGUGAAAUCUUCGGAUUGCUGACCAAGAUCCAGCAAUGGAGCUUGGUUGCGAGAAGUUGAUUAAACCUUAUUAUUUAGAGGAAGGAGAAGUCGUAACA
Molecule: ribosomal RNA, 327 nt
Filed under: uncultured eukaryote
Lineage: Eukaryota
Description: partial 18S ribosomal RNA
Rfam family: Eukaryotic small subunit ribosomal RNA
Source: RNAcentral